GCAUAGCCAUAAACAUUGAUAUUAACCCCACCCACAUAUCCGCCAGGGAACUACAAGCAUUAGCUUAAAACCCAAAGGACUUGGCGGUGCUUCACACCCACCUAGAGGAGCCUGUUCUAGAACCGAUAAUCCCCGUUAAACCUCACCCCCCCUUGUUCCACCCGCCUAUAUACCGCCGUCGUCAGCUUACCCUUUAAAGGCCCCAUAGUGAGCAAAAUUGGUAUAACCCAAAACGUCAGGUCGAGGUGUAGUAAAUGGGGAGGGAAGAAAUGGGCUACAUUCAUCAAAAGAUGAAUACGAAUGAUAAAUUGAAAAAUUAAUCUGAAGGAGGAUUUAGUAGUAAGAAGGAAAUAGCGAGUCCAUCUGAACACGGCACUGAAGCACG
RNAcentral lists this ribosomal RNA (385 nucleotides) under Phoxocampus diacanthus. RNAcentral describes it as "partial 12S ribosomal RNA". It matches the Rfam family "Bacterial small subunit ribosomal RNA", at positions 794 to 1383 of the family's 1533-position model. Lineage: Eukaryota; Metazoa; Chordata; Actinopteri; Syngnathiformes; Syngnathidae. The record is from RNAcentral.